UACGGGGGGGGCAAGCGUUGUUCGGAAUUACUGGGCGUAAAGGGCUCGUAGGCGGCCAACUAAGUCAGACGUGAAAUCCCUCGGCUUAACCGGGGAACUGCGUCUGAUACUGGAUGGCUUGAGGUUGGGAGAGGGAUGCGGAAUUCCAGGUGUAGCGGUGAAAUGCGUAGAUAUCGGAAGGAACAUCAGUGGCGAAAGCGGCUUCCUGGACCAGCACCGACGUUCAGGCACGAAAGCGUGGGGAGCAAACAGG
RNAcentral lists this ribosomal RNA (253 nucleotides) under uncultured bacterium. RNAcentral's name for it is "partial 16S ribosomal RNA". It matches the Rfam family "Bacterial small subunit ribosomal RNA", at positions 524 to 776 of the family's 1533-position model. The record is from RNAcentral.